UGGGGAAUAUUGCACAAUGGGCGCAAGCCUGAUGCAGCCAUGCCGCGUGUGUGAAGAAGGCCUUCGGGUUGUAAAGCACUUUCAGCGGGGAGGAAGGCGUUAAGGUUAUUAACCUUGGCGAUUGACGUUACCCGCACAAGAAGCACCGGCUAACUCCGCGCCAGCAGCCGCGGUAAUACGGAGGGUGCAAGCGUUAAUCGGAAUUACUGGGCGUAUAGCGCACGCAGGCGGUUUGUUAAGUCAGAUGUGAAAUCCCCGGGCUCAACCUGGGAACUGCAUUUGUUACUGGCAAACUUGAGUCUGGUAGAGGGGGGGAGAAUUCCAGGUGUAGCGGUGAAAUGCGUAGAGAUCUGGAGGAAUACCGGUGGCGAAGGCGGCCCCCUGGACAAAGACUGACGCUCAGGUGCGAAAGCGUGGGGAGCAAACAGG
This 429-nucleotide ribosomal RNA is filed under the name Chloroflexota bacterium. RNAcentral's name for it is "Chloroflexi bacterium partial 16S ribosomal RNA". It matches the Rfam family "Bacterial small subunit ribosomal RNA", at positions 355 to 776 of the family's 1533-position model. Lineage: Bacteria; Bacillati; Chloroflexota. The record is from RNAcentral.